CAGCAGCCGCGGGAACACGUAGGUGGCGAGCGUUGUCCGGAAUUAUUGGGCGUAAAGGGCUCGCAGGCGGUUUCUUAAGUCUGAUGUGAAAGCCCCCGGCUCAACCGGGGAGGGUCAUUGGAAACUGGGAAACUUGAGUGCAGAAGAGGAGAGUGGGAUUCCACGUGUAGCGGUGAAAUGCGUAGAGAUGUGGAGGAACACCAGUGGCGAAGGCGACUCUCUGGUCUGUAGCUGACGCUGAGGAGCGAAAGCGUGGGGAGCGAACAGGAUUAGAGACCCCUGUAGUCCCUGUCUCUUAUAU
Molecule: ribosomal RNA, 301 nt
Filed under: uncultured bacterium
Lineage: Bacteria
Description: partial 16S ribosomal RNA
Rfam family: Bacterial small subunit ribosomal RNA
Source: RNAcentral